GACGAACGCUGGCGGCGUGCUUAACACAUGCAAGUCGAACGGAAAGGCCUCUUUCGGGGGGUACUCGAGUGGCGAACGGGUGAGUAACACGUGAGUAACCUGCCCUUGACUUUGGGAUAACUUCAGGAAACUGGGGCUAAUACCGGAUAGGAGCUCCUGCUGCAUGGUGGGGGUUGGAAAGUUUCGGCGGUUGGGGAUGGACUCGCGGCUUAUCAGCUUGUUGGUGGGGUAGUGGCUUACCAAGGCUUUGACGGGUAGCCGGCCUGAGAGGGUGACCGGCCCCAUUGGGGCUGAGAGACGGCCCCGAGUCCUACGGGGGGCAGCAGUGUGGAAUAUUGCACAAUGGGUGGGGGCCUGAUGCAGCACCGCCGCGUGCGGGAUGACGGCCUUCGGGUUGUAUACCGCUUUCGCUCAUGACGAGGCUUUGUGUGACGGUAGUGGGUAAAGAAGCACCGGCUAACUACGUG
RNAcentral lists this ribosomal RNA (467 nucleotides) under uncultured bacterium. RNAcentral describes it as "partial 16S ribosomal RNA". It matches the Rfam family "Bacterial small subunit ribosomal RNA", at positions 28 to 507 of the family's 1533-position model. The record is from RNAcentral.